GGCUAGCGCUCGCUACGCUUGGCCUGCCGAGGCAAAAAGCAUUCGUGACGUACUUCCGGCUGGGUUUGGCCCAGCAGCCUGUUACCCUAGGUCGCUGUUAACUCGUGCAUGUUGGGGGCCAGAAGUACGGAGCGAUGUCAGUCUUUUUUGCCUUGUUUUUGUCAUAUAAGAUCCGAUAUCUGUCCAAACGCCAACGUGGUACAUCCGACAAUUCUCG
This 217-nucleotide long non-coding RNA is filed under the name Hordeum vulgare. Its description in RNAcentral is "long non-coding RNA (HVUL_LNC013590)". The record is from RNAcentral. Lineage: Eukaryota; Viridiplantae; Streptophyta; Magnoliopsida; Poales; Poaceae.